Molecule: ribosomal RNA, 463 nt
Filed under: uncultured bacterium
Lineage: Bacteria
Description: partial 16S ribosomal RNA
Rfam family: Bacterial small subunit ribosomal RNA
Source: RNAcentral
GAUGAGCGCUGACAGAAUGCUUAACACAUGCAAGUCUUUGGCGAAGCUGUGCUUGCACAGCCUAGCCAAGGCGGACGGGUGAGUAACGCGUAAGGAACUUGCCCUGCAGUCAGGGAUAACAGACGGAAACGACUGAUAAGACCUGGUAAAGUCAGGCGGACUCAUGUCCAGCCUGAUGAAAAGUGAUGCUGCAGGAGAGCCUUGCGUCCUAUUAGCUUGUUGGUGGGGUAACGGCCCACCAAGGCGAUGAUAGGUAGCCGGCCUGAGAGGGUGGACGGCCACAAGGGGACUGAGAUACGGCCCUUACUCCUACGGGAGGCAGCAGUGGGGAAUAUUGGACAAUGGGGGCAACCCUGAUCCAGCAAUUCUGUGUGCACGAUGAAGGUUUUCGGAUUGUAAAGUGCUUUCAGCAGGGAAGAAAAAAAUGACGGUACCUGCAGAAGAAGCGACGGCUAAAUACGUG